This 1710-nucleotide long non-coding RNA is filed under the name Homo sapiens (human). RNAcentral's name for it is "long non-coding RNA NONHSAT156969.1". Lineage: Eukaryota; Metazoa; Chordata; Mammalia; Primates; Hominidae. The record is from RNAcentral.
GGCAACCUCAGCCAGUUAUCUUCUGGAGAAGACAAGUGGCUGCUUCGAAAGAAGGCCCAGGAAGUAUUACUUAAUUCACCUCUACAGGAGGAACAUAACUUCCCCCCAGACCAUUAUGGCCUCCCUGCAGUUUGUGAUCUCUUUGCCUGUAUGCAGCUUAAAGUUGAUAAAGAGAAGUGGUUAUAUCGAACUCCUCUACAGAUGUGAAGGAAUGGACAAGAGUUGAGCAGCCUUUCUGCUGAUUAUCACACAUCAUGAGCUGAGUGACUGCAGCUUGCCAAAUCUUUGUGUUUCUGGGUCUGACCAAUUAGCUUAGUUCUUCUCCUGCCUAAUUUUGAACUAGUAAAGCAAAGUGAGUCAUCAGAUUAUGAGUUACUGUUUAAAAGAAAAAUGCUGUUUAUUCAUGCUGAGGUGAUUCAGUUCCCUCCUUCUUACAGAAGUAUUUUAAUUCACCCCACACUAGAAAUGCAGCAUCUUUGUGGACGUCUUUUUCACAAGCCUCCAAGGCUCCUUAGAUUGGGUCGUUACUAAAAGUACAUUAAAACACUCUUGUUUAUCGAAGUAUAUUGAUGUAUUCUAAAGCUAGUAAACUUCCCUAACGUUUAAUUGCCCUACAGAUGCUUCUCUUGCUGUGGGUUUUCUUUUGUUAGUGGUCUGAAAUAAUUAUUUUCCUGUUCUAUUAAUACAUAGUGUAUUUUGCACAAAAAAAUUAACCUGGUCAAUAGUGAUUACCAAAAUAUAUAUUAAUAAUCUUGGCAAUUUUUGACAUUAAUUAUGAAACAUUUUAGCCCACGUUAGUUCUACAUUAUUCUUCACUUAAACUCAGCUACUGCAAAUUUUGUCUUUCUGUAAAUGUUAUUAAAAUAUCCAGUGAGCUCUUUAGAAGGACUCAGUAUUAUUUCAAGACUAUUUUUGAGGUAAUUCUAGCCUUUUAAAAUAUUCUACAGACCUACGGGGCUUAAAAGAACCCCAGUACCGACUAAGCAAAUAGGCAAAAGACAUGUUGGAAAUGUAGUAUAGUACUUGAAACAGUCACUAUCAUAGGGAUAAUUGGUGCAUCCUGUGUAAAUGGAAGCUGAGCUUGACACCUGGUGCUUUUAAGUAGGGAUAAAGUCAUCCUCUCACUGCAAGCACAGCAUACCUGUACCUCCAAAAGUGACGUUUUAGUGAACAGGCCGUUUUCAACACUUGUGCCUUGGGGUGUUCAUUGAAGCUUUGUGAAAACUACUGAUGUUUUCUCAGUCUCCUUAAAGUUACGUCCAUGCUUUAAAAUGUCUGUGUAGGAGAGAAGUGGGGUUUAUAAUGUUUUCUCUAAGAUAUCUUUGCUGCUUUCCAGACUUUGAAACUAUUAAGCUUCUUAACUGCCUCUUACCGGAAAUACUUCUGGGGAAACUUCAUGGUCCCAAAAUGUCAUUGCCAUACAGCUUCACUAGAGUUCUUUGAACCACAGCUGAAAAGAGCUUUGUAUUAUUUUUUAAUUCCCUCCCCAGAUAUCAUUUAGGAGUAUUAUAUAAAGGUGGUGGGCAAAAACAAUGUAAGGAGCCUUUCCAGUUAUCUUGAGUUGCAGCUCUGUAGUUUCUUGAGGCCAAACACACUGUAUUUUACAAGUCAAAAUAUAAUUUACAUUAAUCACUAUGUUAAUGAGUAUGUAAAACAUUCUUUUGCAUUGAUGAAUUUUGUAUCUGCUUCCAUUAAAAGCAUAACAGCCAU